CCACCUCAGUGUCACUGCAGUGCUGAAAUCGUAGGUGAAAAUCUACGUUUUGUUUUGAAAAACAAUACAGCACAAGCACAGAAAGCUUCAUAAAUAUUCACAUCAAAAAUUUUAAACUGGAUUUGCAUUACUUUUAUUCUGAACCACAAUAAGCACAUCGGAGCUGCACCCAAAGCGUAAUGUUUAGACACUUUGCCAUGGCGAGCGAGCCACGGUGAGAGCCUGGACGUGCGAAUGUCUCGCGAGUGUGUACUAAAUACACAGAUGAUGCUAAGCCAGUGUGUCCAACAUAGAACGUAUUUUAAAGUGAAUGUUGUAAAUUAUUUUAAAAUAUCUAUAAAUGUAACUUAUUACUAAUGUUUAAAGCGUUCUAAAUCUAGUUAGUUCAAAUAUGUGUUUGAAUGUAUCCUAGCUAACGUUAGCACGUUUUUAAACCAUUCUCUGCGGCCUGUGUAGAGUAGUGAGCGGUUAGCCGUUAGCUAGGUUCGCUAACAGAAAAUGAUGUGUAGGUACGCUUUUUAAACGAUUUAUUGAAACGAAAAUAACCGAACAAAGUGAAGACUUUAACGUGUUUCACAAGUAGGAAACAACAGUUAAUUGUCUUUUUCCUUUUUAGUAAAGAAAAGGCGGACAACGCUGCUGUACGCUAGUUAGCUGUGAAAGCCGAGCUUAUUAUGCUAGCUUAGCUAGCUACCUAGUUUGUUUACAUGUAAUGGAGUUUUCUAGAAGGUUCCAGUAACGCCAAGUCAGAAUCACCUCUUCAGAAUAGCCAAAGUGAAAGACGAAAGUUCAGUCCAUCUCUCAUGCUGUCAUAAAAUGUCUUUUAUUUUGUGGUCUUCCGUUGUGGAAACAUGUAACCUAAGUAGUAACAGCUGACAAUUUCCUAAUUUACACAGUAGGUUUUGAUAAACAAUAUUUAUCCUCAGGAAAAAUGCCUCUCCGUCGCUUGGGAGCCUGCAUGUGAGCUAUUAAAACCUCUCAGAUAGGACCUAAUUCCCGGGAGGGACGAGAGACCACAGCACUCUUGAGUCUGCCUAUCGAAACCCCAGCCCUAUUCUGAAGUGAAGAGGAGCGACCACCUUAUCUUCGUUCCCAGGGCUGACACAGCAUCCACUUGAGAUAGGAGUGAGAGACUGCUGCUGCACGCCAUGUCCAGUAAAACCAGUCAUGAAAAGGCGAGUGACCACCGGGGCAGCGUGGCGUCCGGAAAGGCUGAGAGGGGGCUGGGGCAAAGACCCUGGACAUGUUAUGGAAGUGUGCAGUGGACAGGGGGCAGACAGGACGUGACCCGUGAGAGGAAGUCUUGUGCCCACUAGGAGGAGGAUUCAUCCAUCAAGCCCAGUCGAGACCAGUGGCUGAAGCCUCAAACGAGCUGGGAGGAUUAGCGGGGGACUCAUGCGUUUAUUAAGCUACUACAACUUGCUCGUAUAGGUUGCUACCUGGAUUCUGCCAUGUUUUGUUAGCUGAGGAGACCGAGAAGGUGUAGGGGAGGUUCUUGACUCACAGGAGGCUCGAGGCUGAGUCAGAGGACUGGACUGCAACUGGACUGCCAUUUCUCAAAAUUCCAUCCAUCAAGUGCAAUGUUGGAAACACCCGUGCUCCUCCCCCACACUUAGGACUACUGAAAGCUUCUGGGUCUAGCCGCCUAGGUGCUUUGGAUGUACGACGCUGAAGAGAACACUGAACGGCAGUGUGAUUGUCUUGCAUUGAGAACAGUGUAUGUCAGUAAUGUUCUAGUGUAGAUAUUUUUAUUUUUUCAUUUUAGCAUUCUAACCACAGAUUAUCUCAGUUAACCUAAUGAGAAAAUAAAAAGAAAAAUGCAGUGCGA
Long non-coding RNA from Pygocentrus nattereri (red-bellied piranha), 1828 nucleotides. RefSeq lists it as uncharacterized. NCBI's taxonomy places the organism in Eukaryota, Metazoa, Chordata, Actinopteri, Characiformes, Serrasalmidae. The record is from RefSeq and is a predicted model, not a curated record. The transcript has 5 exons.